GUCCACGCCCUAAACGAUGGGUACUUGUUGUUGCGGGUAUUCACCCCCGCAGUGACGAAGCUAACGCGUUAAGUACCCCGCCUGGGGAGUAUGGUCGCAAGGCUGAAACUCAAAGGAAUUGACGGGGCCCGCACAAGCGGUGGAGCAUGUGGUUUAAUUCGAUGCAACGCGAAGAACCUUACCUGGGUUUGAACUUGCAGUGAAGGUACCGGAGACGGUGCCGCAGGAGCUUGCUUUUGGCGCUGUGAGAGGUGCUGCAUGGCUGUCGU
RNAcentral lists this ribosomal RNA (269 nucleotides) under uncultured bacterium. Its description in RNAcentral is "partial 16S ribosomal RNA". It matches the Rfam family "Bacterial small subunit ribosomal RNA", at positions 793 to 1055 of the family's 1533-position model. The record is from RNAcentral.